UAGUCCACACCGUAAACGCUGUCUACUAGCUGUGUGUGAAUUUAAUUCGUGCGUAGCGCAGCUAACGCGAUAAGUAGACCGCCUGGGGAGUACGGCCGCAAGGUUAAAACUCAAAUGAAUUGACGGGGGGCCCGCACAAGCGGUGGAGCAUGUGGUUUAAUUCGAUGCAACGCGAAGAACCUUACCUACACUUGACAUGCAGAGAACUUUCCAGAGAUGGAUAGGUGCCUUCGGGAACUCUGACACAGGUGCUGCAUGGCUGUCGUCAGCUCGUGUCGUGAGAUGUUGGGUUAAGUCCCGCAACGAGCGCAACCCUUGUCCUUAGUUGCCAGCCUUUAGUUGGGCACUCUAAGGNGACUGCCGGUGACAAACCGGGAGGAAGGGUGGGGGACGACGGUCAA
This 401-nucleotide ribosomal RNA is filed under the name uncultured bacterium. RNAcentral's name for it is "bacterial SSU rRNA". It matches the Rfam family "Bacterial small subunit ribosomal RNA", at positions 791 to 1193 of the family's 1533-position model. The record is from RNAcentral.